RNAcentral lists this long non-coding RNA (206 nucleotides) under Numida meleagris (helmeted guineafowl). RNAcentral describes it as "lncRNA (ENSNMEG00000004718.1)". Lineage: Eukaryota; Metazoa; Chordata; Aves; Galliformes; Numididae. The record is from RNAcentral.
ACCUGCUGUAUGCAAGAUAGACCUCAUCUAAGGACUUGUGGCAAGAUUUCAGCCAAAAGCACCUCAAGUCCCAGUUAUCUGCAGAGAGAGCAGAGGCUUUGCUUCAAGGCACAAGUACAAGGCAUGAGCCUGAGCAGAUCUUCGAUUUAGAUAUUUCUGGACAAAACCUACUGCAAAUAAAAUCCAUCGCAUCCCUUGCCCUACCA